CCUACGGGAGGCAGCAGUGAGGAAUAUUGGUCAAUGGCCGUAAGGCUGAACCAGCCAAGUCGCGUGAAGGAAGAAGGAUCUAUGGUUUGUAAACUUCUUUUAUAGGGGAAUAAAGGUAUCCACGUGUGGAUAUUUGCAUGUACCCUAUGAAUAAGCAUCGGCUAACUCCGUGCCAGCAGCCGCGGUAAUACGGAGGAUGCAAGCGUUAUCCGGAUUUAUUGGGUUUAAAGGGUGCGUAGGUUGUUUUUUAAGUCAGCGGUGAAAGUUUGUGGCUCAACCAUAAAAUUGCCGUUGAAACUGGAAGACGUGAGUGUGUUUGAGGUAGGCGGAAUGCGUGGUGUAGCGGUGAAAUGCAUAGAUAUCACGCAGAACUCCGAUUGCGAAGGCAGCUUACUAAGCCAUAACUGACACUGAAGCACGAAAGCGUGGGGAUCAAACAGGAUUAGAUACCCGAGUAGUC
Molecule: ribosomal RNA, 460 nt
Filed under: uncultured bacterium
Lineage: Bacteria
Description: partial 16S ribosomal RNA
Rfam family: Bacterial small subunit ribosomal RNA
Source: RNAcentral